Molecule: long non-coding RNA, 1706 nt
Organism: Zingiber officinale
Lineage: Eukaryota; Viridiplantae; Streptophyta; Magnoliopsida; Zingiberales; Zingiberaceae
Exons: 6
Source: RefSeq, a predicted model, not a curated record
CUAACACAAAUGGUAGCCAAUUUUUUAUAACAUUGGCACCAUGUCAGUCAUUGGAUGGAAAACAUACAAUUUUUGGAAGAGUUUGCAGGGGGAUGGAAGUUAUUAAACGUCUUGGAAGUGUGCAAACAGACAACAGUGAUAGCUAGGCGACAACGCGUCGCCGGAACCUCACUAUGCGACAGGCCCAGAAGCGUCGUUGAGCUCGGGAGAUGCGUGUGGACGGGUCGUUGUGCUCGUCACCUGGCUCGGGUGACACUUCCAGACUCACGCAACGUGUUCGGACUCGUCGCAUGACCCAAGCAACACGUUCGGACACGUCGCGGUGGCAAAAUGGCAGCAGCGGCGACAGUUCUAGGUUAGUUGUGGAAGGAGGUGAGUUUAUCCCCUAAAGCACUGCCUUAGGCAAAGCGGCUGCACCUGCCUAGGCGACCGCCUCGGCCGCCAUUUGGAACACUGUUUGCAAUAUCAAGAGAAGUACAAUAGGCCCCAAUCAGGAGCAUGUUGUUAGAGGGAAUGGAAUUGGUUGCGUUGGAGAGGGAUAGAGGAUCAUGCAUAUGUCGAGCGGUGCAGUUUUGCUGUUUGCUUGGUCCAAAAUGUCUCUGACUGAAGAAAUUUGAACUUCGGACGAAUCCACAAAAAAUUGCUUGCCCGAAGGUGUGCCUAGCGUUGAUAUAGUAUUGAAAUUGUAUCAUUAUGGUCAAAGGCCAAUCCCAAGCAUGGAAAAAACUUUAAACCUUGAUUUUUGUUUUAUUUUCCUAGUAAAUAAUGGUAAUAUUAGGUUUGAAGAAAUUUUAAACUGAUACCCAAGCAUGGAAAGUUCAUAGAUUUGGACUAAAGGUUUGAACUUCAUUCAUCUUCUCUUUGCUAUACGUUUCUUAAUAUUGUGGUAUAUCUCUUACCUUACUCAUAGCUUAGUGGAGAUAAUGAUUGCCAAUGUUCAAAAUCUUAUUCUGAGUGAGGGUUCUGGUUCCUGAUCGGAGCGAGAUGAUGAGGGUGUCAUGCUGGAUGUACUGACGCAUCAUGCCUGAGGUACCAAGAAGAAGAAAAACCAGGGAAGAGAAAAGGAGGAAAAUGAUUGAAAACCUAACCUAACUUCCUUGCUGCUGCCUCAUGCCACAAAGGCAAAGAAGAGAGGGAGCAGCAAUGUGACGUUGAGAAGAUAAGGGAAAUGAAGAAAUCAUGAAGAAGAAAAGGUACACAACUGGAUGCCUGAAGAAAAGAGGUCAUGGUUUAGUCAAGAAAGUGAAGAAGUGAAGACAACAGUCACUUACUUGAUUCUUCUUCACUUCCGGCUGCCUUUGAUUCCUUCUUUUUUUGGCAGCAAGGAGGUUAGGUCCUCAAGCAAAGGGGUCUGCUGUGUCGCCUUCCUCACAGAAUCAGGCCAAUACAUGAUGUGAAGAUACUAAGAACAGUAGUCGAAGAUUGAAGUGCUCAAGCUGCAAGGCAAAGGAAAAUCCGAGAAGCAUUUUAUGCUGCAUUAACAUGUGCCAGAUACUAUGCGCGAGUGGCCUUGUAAGGUUGCCAAAUCAUGGAGCCUUGAAAUUCUAUUUAGAGAACUUGUUUUUAAAAAUUUGCGCAAAAAAAUUUGCUGUUUAGUUUGGAGGAAAGUGUAGACCAGGCUAUGGUUUUAUUGUAUUCUUCAUCCGAGACACACAGUGCAAACGAACUCAAUUUUAUCAAUUUUGUUCCAGUACUUUUCUUUUACA